AUUAGAUAAAAAACCAAUGCCCUUCGGGGCUUUCUGGUGAUUCAUAAUAACUAAACGAAUCGCAUGGCCUUGAGCCGGCGAUGGUUCAUUCAAAUUUCUGCCCUAUCAACUUUCGAUUGUAGGAUAGAGGCCUACAAUGGUUUCAACGGGUAACGGAGAAUUAGGGUUCGGUUCCGGAGAGGGAGCCUGAGAAACGGCUACCACAUCCAAGGAAGGCAGCAGGCGCGCAAAUUACCCAAUCCCGACACGGGGAGGUAGUGACAAUAAAUACUGAUACAGGGCUCUUUUGGGUCUUGUAAUUGGAAUGAGUACAAUUUAAAUCCCUUAACGAGGAACAAUUGGAGGGCAAGUCUGGUGCCAGCAGCCGCGGUAAUUCCAGCUCCAAUAGCGUAUAUUAAAGUUGUUGCAGUUAAAAAGCCGUAAUUGAACCUUGGGUCUGGCUGGCCGGUCCGCCUCACCGCGUGCACUGGUCCGGCCGGACCUUUCCUCUUGGGGAUCCGCAUGCCCUUUACUGGG
This 516-nucleotide ribosomal RNA is filed under the name uncultured fungus. RNAcentral's name for it is "SSU rRNA". It matches the Rfam family "Eukaryotic small subunit ribosomal RNA", at positions 209 to 726 of the family's 1831-position model. Lineage: Eukaryota; Fungi. The record is from RNAcentral.